GAACAAGCUAGACGGUGCGUCUUUGUCACGGUUUGCUAAUAGACUCACCAUAAAGAUACAAAUCUGAUUGCGAUGCUUAAGUUAGAGGAGCAACAAUGGUGAUCACAGUUCCCUGGGAAAAAUUGAAAGACUGAUACGGCUCAGGGAGGCUCAUGCCUGGAUACGAUUCUCAGAAUGGAUUGAAUAGGAAUAACAAUUUUCUUUUGGUAUCUCUCAUAGUAAGCUGUCCAAAAUGUUCGAUUUAGGAGCCAUAAUGCAUCAAAAUUAAAGCAUGUGAUUGGUGGGAGUGGAAUUGAUGAUCAAAACAUCAAAUGGAGUUUGAGUUUUCGAUGAGACCACAUUUCAUUGGUGAAUGCCCACGUGAAGAUGCGUACCGUGUCGUUAAAGCCUUUGCAGCAAAGGGGGAAUGGAUGAACAUGGAAUUAAAACGCUAUACACUAUUGCUGGUAAUCUGGUUUAAUAUAUCCGCGAGGAUGGGGGUUUAAUGUUCCACUUGUGGCUGUUGCAUCUAUCUGCAAUCCAUGGGAUCUUCUCAGCUUUUGGGAGUCUGCAGUUAGUUUAUGUGACUGUCUAUAUGACCAACGAUAAAUGAACUUACAGAAUUAGGACUGAUACAAAAUUUUAAAUUACAUCACUAAUGGACAUGACGACUUGAUAAAGUGAAUGACUUGAUAAAGAUCAAACAUAUCGUUCUAGAAACUACACAACAUGGAGGACAUAUUGCUUCUUGUGAAAGAAAGUCUGGGAAGGAUUUGUGACCAUAGAUGGAAUAUAAGUUUGUUUGUAAGGAGGUGAGGACAUUAAAUGGAAACGGAAAUUCACCAUGACCGCAAAUUAGUCUCCUGUAAAGCGGGGAUCCAACUUGAGAUGAUGUAUCCAUAUGCGGUUUUUUUGGACUUGAUCGAAUUGAGAGAAUUAGAGAUCUGAAAGUUAAAAUUUGGGAAGUCAUUCCAAGAAGACCCCAUCUUUAGAGAGAUCAAUGUGAUGCUUACAUAUGACAACAAUAAUCAGGGCUGGGCAGUGGUAUGGCAUGGCCUGAUAGAAGAUGACUCAAAGAGCUUGACUAAUUGGCUUCACCAGUAAAGUUAUCCGGGUGCACUGGCGUAACUGUAGUUUUAAAGCCAGGCACAUGUUGCUGAAGCUGCAGGUGCUUCAGCAAUCCUUAUUAUAACAACCAGUUGGUGAUGCUUCCACAAGAUGCUGGUGCGAGCUUGAAAAAGGAUCUCCAAAACAAGUUAGAUGUUUAUGUGCAGCCAUACACUUCAAAGUUCAAAGUGCCUGCUGUAAAUGGAAGUAUCGCCACUUCAAUGUAUAGAAAGAGAAAUCAUCGAUCUUGUGUCACAAAUCAAAAUCAACUACCUGCUGUUGGAAAAAUAUCCCAAUUACAUAAAAUGAUGAUUGAUGCUAACAUGCUAGUAUAUAUAUAUAUAUAUAUAAGCCCAAAUAAAAUUAUUUGCGGCGUUUGAUGAUGAUCUUUGCUAAAUUAGGUGAUGAACAACGCUGAAAUUGUAUCAAGUCUCUGGAUAUCAUUUGUUCUUCAUCCGCAGUAAAGAUAUUGUUAUGAACUACCAUCACUUUCUUCAACCUAAAUGACUUGGAUAUGACCAGCUUCAAGAAUUCCUCAAGAUUUUCCAACUUGAAGCCCGAUGAGUAGUCUUCCAGAACAAAAGGACGCAUAGAAAAUAUGUUGUGACAUAACUGUUCAUUAAUUAAUUGUAGCAUAUCAAGUCAGAAAACAUAUAUGUCAUAAGCGGCCGAAACAAUAAUUACCAUGUCAAUAACAUAUGCAUAUAUUUACAUACGUAUGCUGAUAUAUAAUUUCUUUAGAUUUGGGAA
Molecule: long non-coding RNA, 1836 nt
Organism: Erigeron canadensis
Lineage: Eukaryota; Viridiplantae; Streptophyta; Magnoliopsida; Asterales; Asteraceae
Exons: 10
Source: RefSeq, a predicted model, not a curated record